GAGGAGGACACUCCUCUCCAGGAAAUUGAAAUAAUUUACUUCAUGCCUCUUGGAGAUAUAAUUAUGCAUUCAACCUUUGGUUUACUUCAUGCCUCUGGGUGUGUUUUUUUUCUUUCAUCUGGAUUCAAAUGGUUUAUAAUCUGAAAGAGUGUCGUCUUUCAAUCGCAAUCUGAAUUCUGCAAAGUUUCAAUCGAGCAUUUUUGGUACUGUUGUUCCUGGCAAGCCAUCUUCCUUACAGGAGGAAUUUAAGGAUGAGGAGAUGGUUGAUGUGAAGUCAUUACACAUCCGAAACUUUCUCUGAAGUUGAGUUUGUUGGUUAGUGUUUUGCUUUGCAUUUAACAAUUGUUAGGAUACUCAUAUCCAACAAUUGUUUCUCUAUCUUCUUUGAUUGAAAUUCAUUGAUUACCUAGGGACCUGUCUUAAAAAGAAAUGUAAUCCUAGAUUUAAUAGUAAACCACUUGAUUAUCUUUUCGUCUAUUGUUAUUGGUCGGUUUCGGACAAAAGAAAUUUAAAAACUAUGCCAAUAUACUGUAAGAAUGUGAUGGAUUGCAGCCCUCUAAAUCUCCAUUAUCAAAUUUUCACAAAA
Camellia sinensis is the source of this 586-nucleotide non-coding RNA. The record is from RefSeq and is a predicted model, not a curated record. NCBI's taxonomy places the organism in Eukaryota, Viridiplantae, Streptophyta, Magnoliopsida, Ericales, Theaceae.